This 293-nucleotide ribosomal RNA is filed under the name uncultured bacterium. RNAcentral's name for it is "partial 16S ribosomal RNA". It matches the Rfam family "Archaeal small subunit ribosomal RNA", at positions 455 to 747 of the family's 1478-position model. The record is from RNAcentral.
GUGCCAGCCGCCGCGGUAAUACCGGCAGCACGAGUGAUGGCCGAUCUUAUUGGGCCUAAAGCGUCCGUAGCCGGCCGGACAAGUCCGUUGGGAAAUCCACUCGCCCAACGAGUGGGCGUCCGACGGAAACUGCACAGCUUGGGACCGGAAGGCUCGAAGGGUACGUUCGGGGUAGGAGUGAAAUCCUGUAAUCCUGGACGGACCACCAAUGGGGAAACCACGUUGAGAGAUCGGACCCGACGGUGAGGGACGAAAGCUAGGGUCUCGAACCGGAUUAGAAACCCUAGUAGUCC